RNAcentral lists this long non-coding RNA (1327 nucleotides) under Sus scrofa (pig). Its description in RNAcentral is "lncRNA (ENSSSCG00000042425.1)". Lineage: Eukaryota; Metazoa; Chordata; Mammalia; Artiodactyla; Suidae. The record is from RNAcentral.
UGCUGUGGCUGUGGUGUAGGCUGGUGGCUACAGCUCCAAUUAGACGCCUAGCCUGGGAACCUCCAUAUGCUACAGGUGUGGCCCUAAAAAGACAAAAAAAAAAAAAAAGUAGAAUCCAAAGAUAUAUUAUUUAUAAAUAGAGUUACACUUUAACCAUAAAGAUACAGAUUGGCUAGAAGUGAAAUUAUGAAGAAAGAUAUGCCAUGCAAAUACCUCAUUAUAGGAGAAGUAGAUAUCAGAGUAAAUUUCAGAGCAAAGAAUAUUAUCAGAGAUAAUCAGAGGACAUUUCAUAGCAGAGUCAGUUUAUGGAGAAUGUAUAAUUGUUCUAAAUAUAUAUAUACCUAAUAGCAGAGCUUAAAAACACAGAAAGCAAAAACUGACAGAAUGAAGGGCUUAAUAGAAAAAUCCCCAAUCAUGGCUAGAAAUUUUAACAUCUCUCAGUACUGUAUAGAAAAUUAUGCAAAAAUUCACUCAGCAUCUAGAAGAUUUGAACAGUACAAUGUCUGACAUUUCUAGAACGCUAAGCUCAGCAACUGUCAAGAUACACAUUUUUUGAAAAUGUGUAUGGAACAUAUGUCAAGAUAGAGUAUAUGCUGGGCCAUUAAAUGAGUUCCAAUACAUUUCAAAGGAUUUAAACUAUACAGAGUUAGUUCUCUGAUCAUAUAGGAUGAAGUCACAAAGUAGUCACAAAAAUAUAUGGGAAAAUUUCCCAAAAAUUUAGAAGUGGCGAUACACUUCUAAGUAACUCAUGGAUCAAAAAAAGUAUUCACAAGAUAAAAUUUUAAAUGUUUCAAGCUGAAUGAUGAAGAAAAUACAACAUAUCAAAACAUGUGGGAUGUAACUAGAGAAGUAUUUAGGAGGAAAUUAAUAGUUUUAAAUGCUCUGUUAGAAAAGAAAUGCCAUUUUAAGAUCAGUGUUCUAAGAAUUUAUUUAUUUAUUUUUUUAGGGCUGCAACCUUGGCAUAUGGAGGUUCCCAGGCUAGGUGUCAAACCGGAGCUAAAGCUGCCAGCCUACACCACAACCACAACAACAAUGGAUCCGCUCUGCAUCUGCAACCUACACCACAGCUCAUGGCAACACCGGAUCCUUAACCCACUGAGCGAAGCCAGGGAUCAAACCCGCAACCUCAUGGUUCCUAGUCAGAUUCGUUUCUGCUGCACCAUGAUGGGAACUCCUAAGAUUCUAUUUGAAAAAGGAAAAAAAAGCAAAUUAAAUCCAAAUUAAUCAAAAGAGAUCAAGUAAGAGCAGAAAUUAGGAAGAGCCGAAAACAAUGGGGACAAAUAAUAGAGAAAAUUAAGUUGUUUUUUUGGAAAGAUUAAUAAAAUUG